AGAAAACGUGCCUUUCAGUUUCUUUUCCGUUGCAGAUGUCCCAUUUCUCGUUCAUCUUCCCCAUCUUGUUUAAUUCCUACUCAUUUGAUAUAUUCACUAAAAAUAUAUGAGGAAAUUGAGUCGUUUAUAUGGGAAAAAGCAUAGGAAUUGUGACAGUAUUUCAUUAAAAAGAAGAAAGAGCAAUAAUGGAAGCAAAAGCAGAAGAUUUGUAGAAGUUUUAGUCGUUUUUGAUUUGUAAAAAUAGAAAACAAAGCAUCUACAAUCAGAAUACAAAUAUCUAGAGCUCAUCUACAAAAUAUUUACAAAGUGGGUAUAUUAAAUUUUAAUAUCCCAAUUCCAUUCGAUUGUAGUUAAC
RNAcentral lists this long non-coding RNA (355 nucleotides) under Nicotiana benthamiana. RNAcentral's name for it is "long non-coding RNA (NBEN_LNC014845)". The record is from RNAcentral. Lineage: Eukaryota; Viridiplantae; Streptophyta; Magnoliopsida; Solanales; Solanaceae.